Sander lucioperca (pikeperch) is the source of this 134-nucleotide long non-coding RNA. RefSeq lists it as uncharacterized. The transcript is spliced from 3 exons. The record is from RefSeq and is a predicted model, not a curated record. Lineage: Eukaryota; Metazoa; Chordata; Actinopteri; Perciformes; Percidae.
CCUUUGGCACCUGGACUCCUCAGGAGUCCUACGCCAGGAUCCUGUUUGUGGACUUUAGCUCUGACUUCAACACCAUCCUCCCGGUUCUGCUACAGGACAAGCUGACCCAGCUGCAUGUAGAUCACAGAUUUCCU